GACGGAAGGAUGCAAGCGUUAUCCGGAUUCAUUGGGUUUUAAAGGGAGCGUAGGUGGCCUUAUAAGUCAGUGGUGAAAUCUCUGGGCUUAACCCAGAAAUUGCCAUUGAUACUGUAGGGCUUGAGUACAGUUGCUGUGGGCGGAAUAUGACAUGUAGUGGUGAAAUACAUAGAGAUGUCAUAGAACACCGAUUUGCGAAGGCAGCUCACAAAACUGUAACUGACAACUGAGGCUCGAAAGUGCGGGGAUCAAACAGG
RNAcentral lists this ribosomal RNA (257 nucleotides) under uncultured bacterium. RNAcentral's name for it is "partial 16S ribosomal RNA". It matches the Rfam family "Bacterial small subunit ribosomal RNA", at positions 524 to 776 of the family's 1533-position model. The record is from RNAcentral.